UAGGGAAUAUUGGGCAAUGGAGGGAACUCUGACCCAGCCAUGCCGCGUGCAGGAUGAAGGCGUUAUGCGUUGUAAACUGCUUUUUAUAUAGGAAGAAAUAGUCCUUGCGAGGAAAGUUGACGGUACUAUAUGAAUAAGCACCGGCUAACUCCGUGCCAGCAGCCGCGGUAAUACGGAGGGUGCAAGCGUUGUCCGGAUUUAUUGGGUUUAAAGGGUGCGUAGGCGGUUUAUUAAGUCAGUGGUGAAAGACGGUCGCUCAACGAUUGCAGUGCCAUUGAUACUGGUAGACUUGAGUAUGAUUGAGGUAGCUGGAAUGGAUAGUGUAGCGGUGAAAUGCAUAGAUAUUAUCCAGAACACCAAUUGCGUAGGCAAGUUACUAAGUCAUAACUGACGCUGAGGCACGAAAGUGUGGGGUAUCAAACAGGAUUAGAUACCCACGUAGUCCCUGAGCGGGCUGGCAAGGCGCAU
RNAcentral lists this ribosomal RNA (468 nucleotides) under uncultured bacterium. RNAcentral's name for it is "bacterial SSU rRNA". It matches the Rfam family "Bacterial small subunit ribosomal RNA", at positions 355 to 825 of the family's 1533-position model. The record is from RNAcentral.